Molecule: ribosomal RNA, 253 nt
Filed under: uncultured bacterium
Lineage: Bacteria
Description: partial 16S ribosomal RNA
Rfam family: Bacterial small subunit ribosomal RNA
Source: RNAcentral
UACGUAGGGUGCAAGCGUUGUCCGGAAUUACUGGGCGUAAAGGGUGCGUAGGCGGUUCGUUAAGUCUGUCGUGAAAUCCCCGGGCUCAACCUGGGAAUGGCGAUGGAUACUGGCGAGCUAGAGUGUGUCAGAGGAUGGUGGAAUUCCCGGUGUAGCGGUGAAAUGCGUAGAGAUCGGGAGGAACAUCAGUGGCGAAGGCGGCCAUCUGGGACAACACUGACGCUGAAGCACGAAAGCGUGGGGAGCAAACAGG